GACGGGAUAGUAACACGUGGGAACCUGCCCUUAGGUUCGGAAUAACUCAGAGAAAUUUGAGCUAAUACCGGAUAAUGUCUUCGGACCAAAGAUUUAUCGCCUUUGGAUGGGCCCGCGUUGGAUUAGCUUGUUGGUGGGGUAAAGGCCUACCAAGGCGACGAUCCAUAGCUGGUCUUAGAGGAUGAUCAGCCACAUUGGGACUGAGACACGGCCCAAACUCCUACGGGAGGCAGCAGUGGGGAAUAUUGCACAAUGGGCGAAAGCCUGAUCCAGCAAUGCCGCGUGAGUGAUGAAGGCCUU
Molecule: ribosomal RNA, 300 nt
Filed under: uncultured bacterium
Lineage: Bacteria
Description: bacterial SSU rRNA
Rfam family: Bacterial small subunit ribosomal RNA
Source: RNAcentral